AUGGGCGGAAGCCUGAUCCAGCAACGCCGCGUGAGGGAUGACGGCCUUCGGGUUGUAAACCUCUUUCAGCACCGACGAAGCGGAAGUGACGGUAGGUGCAGAAGAAGGACCGGCCAACUACGUGCCAGCAGCCGCGGUAAUACGUAGGGUCCGAGCGUUGUCCGGAAUUAUUGGGCGUAAAGGGCUCGUAGGCGGUUUGUCGCGUCGGGAGUGAAAACCAGGUGCUUAACACCUGGCCUGCUUUCGAUACGGGCAGACUAGAGGCAUUCAGGGGAGAACGGAAUUCCUGGUGUAGCGGUGAAAUGCGCAGAUAUCAGGAGGAACACCGGUGGCGAAGGCGGUUCUCUGGGAAUGUCCUGACGCUGAGGAGCGAAAGUGUGGGGAGCGAACAGGAUUAGAUACCCUGGUAGUCCACACCGUAAACGUUGGGCGCUAGGUGUGGGAUCCAUUCCACGGGUUCCGUGCCGCAGCUAACGCAUUAAGCGCCCCGCCUGGGGAGUACGGCCGCAAGGCUAAAACUCAA
This 523-nucleotide ribosomal RNA is filed under the name Nocardioides flavus (ex Wang et al. 2016). RNAcentral describes it as "bacterial SSU rRNA". It matches the Rfam family "Bacterial small subunit ribosomal RNA", at positions 371 to 904 of the family's 1533-position model. Lineage: Bacteria; Bacillati; Actinomycetota; Actinomycetes; Propionibacteriales; Nocardioidaceae. The record is from RNAcentral.